GAGGCCACCGGACUCUCGCCGCGGGUGCACCUGGCUGGGCGUGGGCCAGCGAGGGGCCCGGCACCCCCAGCCCGCGGGAUGACCUCACCUGUAAAGUGUGCGUAGACACCGCCCUGCAGCCCUCCCUCCCGGCCCAGACACACCACAGAUAACAAGAAUAUCAACAAUUAACAUGUAUUGACCACUUACUAUGUGCUGGGCACGGUAUUAAACCCUUUUUGUGCGUUGGUCUCCCGAUAACUCUACAGGCUAGCCAAUAUUAACCAUCGCUAUCUACCGCUGAGGAAACGAGGUCAUCGGGUACUCAAGGCAGAGCUGGAAGAGCACAUGACUCCUGAUGCUGCUGAUGUUCUGCGCUGUAACAGAGAGGCAGCUGGAGAGGAUCGGAGUGGGCUGAGCCCAGCUGCCUGGGUUGGAGCACCUAGGCUCUGCCACUACCUUCGGCAUGCCACUUACCACCCUGAGCCUCUGUUUUUUCAUCUGUAAAAUGGAGUUGCUAACAAAACAUGUCUCAAAAAGUUGUGGAAAAGCAGUGUCUGGUAUAUUCAAAGUGCUAUUAUUGCUAUUAACAGGCUGUCACGUCUGGGAGUGGUGGCUCACACCUGUAAUCCCAGCACUUUUGGAGGCUGAGGCGCAUGGAUCGCUUGAACCCAGGAGUUCGAGACCAAUCUGGGCAACAUGGUAAAACCCUGUCUCUACAAAAAAUACACAAAAAUUAGCCAGGCGUAGUAGCAGAUACCUGUAGUCCCAGGUACUCGGGUGGCUGAGGUGGGAGGAUCAAUUGAGCCCAGGAGGCAGAGGUUGCAGUGGGCUGAGAUCGCACCACUGCACUCCAGCCUGGGUGACAGAGCAAGACCCUGUCUCAAAAAAUAUAAAAUAAAAAUAAAAUAAAAAACAAGCUGUCACUUGCUCCACUCCUGCCCUAGGAUCUUUUCCUGGGAAACUAGUCUUGUUUCUGGGGUCAGGCAGGGCCUGGCUCUGCAGUUCCCUUAGAGAAGAUGGGGGAGGGCCUGGGAGGUCCUUGGGUGUGAACCUAUGCUCCUGGGUGGCUCCCAUUAUAGGAAUUAGGCCAGAAGGCAGUCACCUGCUCUGCUGCUGAGGAGGUCAGACCCUGUCUGGGCCUCUGUUUUAUUGCCUGUAAAAAGGAACAGCAUUACCUUCCUUACUCCCCUAUCUUUCAUUCAUUCAGCUCAUUUACUGAGUGCCCCUUACGUGCCAGGCACUGUGCUGGGGGACUCCGGGACCACAACAGGAAAGGAAAUAGACAAAGCCCUCACCAGGCCCGUUAGUUUCUAGAAUGGUGGGAGAGGAAAAAUAGUCAAAGAAUCCUACUAAUUGAUACAAAAUUCCAACCGUGGAAAAUAGUUUUGAACUCCAAGGGUGCUAAUUCAGGGGCUGGAGGUAGGGGGAGCAGAAUCAGGAAAGGCCACCUUCCCUGAGAACAGAGCAGCUGAGUGGGUUUCUGGAGGCAGGUCCUGACAGGCCUGAUUCUUGGGAGGAUGGAUGGCUCCAAUUCUGGCCACUGUGACUGUGCCUGGGCCUGUUGGAGCUUGUUAGCUACCCCACCUCCCCUGAGCCAGGAGUCCGAGACUCAGGAUGGGUAGGUGCUGGCUAGAUACUAGUGAACUGAAUAACCUCCCCCUGCAAGCUGCCCCCACCUGUGGUCCCCUAGAGAGAGGAAAUUCCACAUUAAACAUUCAAGCCUCUGGAUUGGCUCCACUCUCCUCCCUCCCCUUCCAACUCCUCCCUACCACUUACACAAAAGCUUGGCCCAGUUAGGUCAGCUGCAGUGAGGGAGGGGUACUUGGCUAAAUCCUUGGAAUUAUUUCUUAGAUAAAGAACUAAGGCUAGGAGAGGCCAAGGUCCCUCAUCA
This 1873-nucleotide long non-coding RNA is filed under the name Homo sapiens (human). RNAcentral describes it as "HSALNT0389189". Lineage: Eukaryota; Metazoa; Chordata; Mammalia; Primates; Hominidae. The record is from RNAcentral.